UACACAAGAGGUUUUUAACUGAAUGUAGUU
This 30-nucleotide non-coding RNA is filed under the name Rattus norvegicus (Norway rat). The record is from RNAcentral. Lineage: Eukaryota; Metazoa; Chordata; Mammalia; Rodentia; Muridae.